This 471-nucleotide ribosomal RNA is filed under the name uncultured organism. Its description in RNAcentral is "partial 16S ribosomal RNA". It matches the Rfam family "Bacterial small subunit ribosomal RNA", at positions 334 to 797 of the family's 1533-position model. The record is from RNAcentral.
CACUCCUACGGGAGGCAGCAGUGGGGAAUUUUGGACAAUGGGCGAAAGCCUGAUCCAGCAAUGCCGCGUGUGUGAAGAAGGCCUUCGGGUUGUAAAGCACUUUUGUCCGGAAAGAAAUCCUUGGCUCUAAUACAGUCGAGGGAUGACGGUACCGGAAGAAUAAGCACCGGCUAACUACGUGCCAGCAGCCGCGGUAAUACGUAGGGUGCGAGCGUUAAUCGGCAUUACUGGGCGUAAAGCGUGCGCAGGCGGUUUGCUAAGACCGAUGUGAAAUCCCCGGGCUCAACCUGGGAACUGCAUUGGUGACUGGCAGGCUAGAGUAUGGCAGAGGGGGGUAGAAUUCCACGUGCAGCAGUGAAAUGCGUAGAGAUGUGGAGGAAUACCGAUGGCGAAGGCAGCCCCCUGGGCCAAUACUGACGCUCAUGCACGAAAGCGUGGGGAGCAAACAGGAUUAGAAACCCGUGUAGUCCC